RNAcentral lists this ribosomal RNA (507 nucleotides) under uncultured bacterium. Its description in RNAcentral is "partial 16S ribosomal RNA". It matches the Rfam family "Bacterial small subunit ribosomal RNA", at positions 28 to 507 of the family's 1533-position model. The record is from RNAcentral.
GACGAACGCUGGCGGCGUGCCUAAUACAUGCAAGUCGAACGCAUUUUCUUUCACCGUAGCUUGCUACACCGAAAGAAAAUGAGUGGCGAACGGGUGAGUAGCACGUGGGUAACCUGCCCAUCAGCGGGGGAUAACACUUGGAAACAGGUGCUAAUACCGCAUAAUUCCAUUUACCGCAUGGUAGAUGGGUGAAAGGCGCUUUUGCGUCACUGAUGGAUGGACCCGCGGUGCAUUAGCUAGUUGGUGGGGUAACGGCCUACCAAGGCUGCGAUGCAUAGCCGACCUGAGAGGGUGAUCGGCCACACUGGGACUGAGACACGGCCCAGACUCCUACGGGAGGCAGCAGUAGGGAAUCUUCGGCAAUGGACGCAAGUCUGACCGAGCAACGCCGCGUGAGUGAAGAAGGUUUUCGGAUCGUAAAACUCUGUUGUUAGAGAAGAACAAGGAUGAGAGUGGAAAGUUCAUCCCUUGACGGUAUCUAACCAGAAAGCCACGGCUAACUACGUG